UAACACGCUGCGGUCGUAUUUUUAUUGCCAGUGUUAUUUUAGCUGUACGUGUCAUUAACAAAGGUUAUACUAGAGUGAUGUCCCUUCGCUUAACUGGCUGGAGGGGACCAGCUCUGACGUUUUUGUAUCUUCUGUGGAUCUACGAUGAGUUUUGGUUUCUCCCGUUCAUCUGUAAUGUUUGUUGCACCUUUCGUCUCUGUUGUGGAUUGUUAUUCUGUGCUUGUGCUACGUCAUUACUUACAAUAGACAUCUUCGUCCACUAACGGCUUCCGUCUCAUGUUCUUGCAUUUGUCACCUUGGUGUGUACCUGCUGGUCUUGACAUUGGUUGAUCUUCAUUGGUUGUGCUUCAGUUUUUUUCCUUUUCUCUAUCUUUUGCCAGGUCCCUAAAGUCAGCCAUUCCUUGUGCUGUUUGAAUAACAAGCUCUUUAAGUGGCACCUUAUAACAUAUUCAUCGACACACAUCCUAAAGCCUUGUCUGCUCCUUUAUCUUGCAGUACCACCUGGCAGAAGGCGAAGACGAUUGCAGCCAUGGCAAACCGACAUGUUAGUACGAAGGUUCAACAUGUCUGAGUACCCUAGUCCUGCUACUGUGGCGAUGCUGAGUAGACGGACACGCAUGAAACAACAAAAGAUUUACCGCUGGUUCGUCAAUCGGCGCUCUGCCCAACGUCGCGCGCAACAUCGCCGUCGCCCUCAACAGCGCCGUCGCCCACCUCGGCCUUGAGGGAUUCUCCGCUUAUGGACAUUUUUGAUCGCAUUUUUAUAAUUAUCUUUUAUCUUUUUUCUAAUUAGUUUUUAUGUAAGUAUAUUGUCUAGGCAAAGAUUUUUUACAACAAAAUUUGUUUACAACAGGAUUUUUGAGUAAUGUUUUAAUUGUUCUGAUCUAUCUUUUUUAUUUUUGUACUCUUUUGAGCAAAUUGUAUUUGAUAAAAAUGUGCAUUAAACAUAUAUAUAUAAGAAUUCGGUGUAAAAUUGUGAGAAAAAAUAGGCUUGUUUCUCUGUAUGUGUGACAAUGUUUACGCAAUGAAAUGUGUUAAUUUGUACCUCAUGGUUUAGAAUAGUCGAUACAAUAUUAUAAUCAGAUAUUUCAGUACACACUUUACCGUGUGCUUUUGAAAUAGUUUUAUUAAAAGAUCUGCAAACAUUUAA
Long non-coding RNA from Pomacea canaliculata, 1150 nucleotides. RefSeq lists it as uncharacterized. The record is from RefSeq and is a predicted model, not a curated record. The transcript is spliced from 3 exons. Lineage: Eukaryota; Metazoa; Mollusca; Gastropoda; Architaenioglossa; Ampullariidae.